AACUCCCAACCCAAUGUGAACGUUACCAAACUGUUGCCUCGGCGGGAUCUCUGCCCCGGGUGCGUCGCAGCCCCGGACCAAGGCGCCCGCCGGAGGACCAACCAAAACUCUUUUUGUAUACCCCCUCGCGGGUUUUUUAUAAUCUGAGCCUUCUCGGCGCCUCUCGUAGGCGUUUCGAAAAUGAAUCAAAACUUUCAACAACGGAUCUCUUGGUUCUGGCAUCGAUGAAGAACGCAGCGAAAUGCGAUAAGUAAUGUGAAUUGCAGAAUUCAGUGAAUCAUCGAAUCUUUGAACGCACAUUGCGCCCGCCAGUAUUCUGGCGGGCAUGCCUGUCCGAGCGUCAUUUCAACCCUCGAACCCCUCCGGGGGGUCGGCGUUGGGGAUCGGCCCUGCCUCUUGGCGGUGGCCGUCUCCGAAAUACAGUGGCGGUCUCGCCGCAGCCUCUCCUGCGCAGUAGUUUGCACACUCGCAUCGGGAGCGCGGCGCGUCCACAGCCGUUAAACACCCAACUUCUGAAAUGUUGACCUCGGAUCAGGUAGGAAUACCCGCUGAACUUAAGCAUAUCUA
Molecule: ribosomal RNA, 567 nt
Filed under: fungal sp. AM2013
Lineage: Eukaryota; Fungi
Description: eukaryotic LSU rRNA
Rfam family: 5.8S ribosomal RNA (bases 190-343)
Source: RNAcentral